Molecule: ribosomal RNA, 505 nt
Filed under: Stenotrophomonas sp. A3(2010)
Lineage: Bacteria; Pseudomonadati; Pseudomonadota; Gammaproteobacteria; Lysobacterales; Lysobacteraceae
Description: bacterial SSU rRNA
Rfam family: Bacterial small subunit ribosomal RNA
Source: RNAcentral
GAGUUUGAUCAUGGCUCAGAGUGAACGCUGGCGGUAGGCGUAACACAUGCAAGUCGAACGGCAGCACAGUAAGAGCUUGCUCUUAUGGGUGGCGAGUGGCGGACGGGUGAGGAAUACAUCGGAAUCUACCUUUUCGUGGGGGAUAACGUAGGGAAACAUACGCUAAUACCGCAUACGACCUUCGGGUGAAAGCAGGGGACCUUCGGGCCUUGCGCGGAUAGAUGAGCCGAUGUCGGAUUAGCUAGUUGGCGGGGUAAAGGCCCACCAAGGCGACGAUCCGUAGCUGGUCUGAGAGGAUGAUCAGCCACACUGGAACUGAGACACGGUCCAGACUCCUACGGGAGGCAGCAGUGGGGAAUAUUGGACAAUGGGCGCAAGCCUGAUCCAGCCAUACCGCGUGGGUGAAGAAGGCCUUCGGGUUGUAAAGCCCUUUUGUUGGGAAAGAAAAGCAGUCGAUUAAUACUCGGUUGUUCUGACGGUACUCAAAGAAUAAGCAUCCGGCAAC